RNAcentral lists this long non-coding RNA (2435 nucleotides) under Salmo salar (Atlantic salmon). RNAcentral's name for it is "lncRNA (ENSSSAG00000088051.1)". The record is from RNAcentral. Lineage: Eukaryota; Metazoa; Chordata; Actinopteri; Salmoniformes; Salmonidae.
AUGAAAACAUUAUAUAAAGUGGCAUUGUUUAAAGUGGCUAGUGAUACAUCUAAUUACAUCAAGAUGGCAAGAUGCAGCAGAUGGUAUGGCGUACAGUAUAUACAUAUGAGAUGAAUAAUGUAGGUUAAGUAAACAUUAUCUAAUAUAAAUAAUAUAAAGUGGCAAGUGAUAAAUUGAUUACAUCAAUUUUUCCAUUAUUAAAGUGGCUUGAGUUGAGUCAGUAUGUUGGCAGCAGCCACUCAAUGUUAGUGAUGGCUGUUUAACAGUCUGAUGGCCUUGAGAUAGAAGCUGUUUUUCAGUCUCUCGGUUCCAGCUUUGAUGCACCUGUACUGACCUCGCCUUCUGGAUGUUAGCGGGGUGAACAGGCAGUGCCUCGGGUGGUUGCUGUCCUUGAUGAUCUUUUUGGCCUUCCUGUGACAUCGGGUGGUGUAGGUGUCCUGGAGGGCAGGUAGUUUGCUGAAGUCCACGAUCAUCUCUUUUGUUUUGUUGACAUUGAGUGCGAGGUUAUUUUCCUGACACCACACUCCGAGGGCCCUCACCUCCUCCCUGUAGGCCAUCUCGUCGUUGUUGGUAAUCAAGCCUACCACUGUAGUGUCGUCUGCAAACUUGAUGAUUGAGUUGGAGGCGUGCAUGGCCACGCAGUCAUGGGUGAACAGGGAGUACAGAAGAGGGCUGAGAACGCACCCUUUUGGGGACCCAGUGUUGAGGAUCAGCGGGGUGGAGAUGUUGUUACCUACCCUCACCACCUGGGGGCGGCCCGUCAGGAAGUCCAUGACCCAGUUGCACAGGGUGGGGUCGAGACCCAGGGUCUCGAGUUUAAUGACGAGUUUGGAGGGUACUAUGGUGUUAAAUGCUGAGCUGUAAUCGAUGAACAGCAUUCUUACAUAGGUAUUCCUCUUGUCCAGAUGGGUUAGGGCAGUUUGCAGUGUGAUGGCGAUUGCAUCGUCUGUGGACCUAUUGGGUCGGUAAGCAAAUUGGAGUGGGUCUAGGGUGUCAGGUAGGGUGGAGGUGAUAUGGUCCUUGACUAGUCUCUCAAAGCACUUCAUGAUGACGGAAGUGAGUACAUUAUGAUCCAUUAAUUCAUUACACUCCCUCCUCUGUCAAUGCCAUUGGAAUCCAAAUUUGCGCUGCCGGGUCAACAGUUUCAAGCUACAUUCAGUGUGUUCCAAAAAAUCGCAACCCAGUAAGCAAAAAAAUAAAUAAUUCCCUUACAGGAACUGGCACAUUCUUAAUGUAAAGCACCUGUGGGACAAUCAAUCUGUUUUGCAUAAAUACAAAUAGCCAUGUCUAUGAAGUAAUAACCAGUUUCCUGAUAGCGAUAGAAUUAGGCUUACAAGUGUUUUAAUAAGGUGUUUGCCAAAACACCACGCAGGGAGAACUUCCAAUAAGUACAUCGUUAGAGCAUGUGUCGAUACUGACUGGAUCAAAAGAAAGGCAACGCUGCCCUCAGAUCAGCUUUCUCCAUUCAACUCUUACCUUUAACAUUAGAUACUGACCACAGAUCAGGUCCUAGAGAGAAAUUAUCACCUAUGCCUGCGAAUAUUGAGGAGGCUUAUUCUAAUGCUAAGGCUAUCCACUAAAUCAAAUAUUUGGCACAUCAUUGUGCAUAUGUUGUUAGGUCUACACAUCAUGAAAUGUAGGCAAUAAUUACAGAGAGUAGCCUACAAUUAGCAUUGAAAAAUAAAGCACAAAUACAUCUUGACAAGUUUUCAACCCCCUGAGUCAAUACAUGUUAGAAUCAUCUUUGGCAGUGAUGUGUCUUUCUGGGUAAGUCUCUUCUAACUUUGCACUCCUAGAUUGUACAAUAUUUUCACAUUAUCCUUGAAAAUAUUCUUCAAGCUCUGUCAAGCUGGUUUCUGAUCAUUGCUAGACAGCCAUUUUCAAGCAUUGGAAUAUAUUUUCAAGUCAAAAUGGUACCCAAGCCACUCAGGAACAUUCAAUGUUGUCUUGGUAAGUACUGUAACUCCAGUGUAUAUUUGGUCUUGUGUUUUAGGUUAUUGUCCUGCUGAAAGGUGAAUUCAUCUCCCAGUGUCUGUUGGAAAGCAGACUGAACCAGAUUUUCCUCUAGGAUUUUUCCUGUGUUUAGCUCUAUUCCAUUUAUUUUUAUCAAUUUUUUUUUUCCCUAGUUCUUUCCGAUGACAAGCCUACCCAUAACAUUACCACCACCGUGCUUGAAAAUAUAAAGAUUGGUUCUCUGUGAUGUGUUGUGUUGGAUGUGCACCAAUGACGCUUUGUAUUCAGGACAUAAGUAGUACUACGCGAUUGGACAAGGACUACUGCCAAUAGCCAAUGAGCAUUCAACAUGUGAGACCAAAAAAACAAUGAUGGUGAAGAGGAAAGCAACAACAACAUGCUCCGUGUGGACCAAGGUGAUGGGAGACAGGUUGGUGGAGCUGGAGAGAGAACACGCUCCGUGUGGACCAAGGUGAUGGGAG